UACAGAGGUGGCAAGCGUUGUUCGGAAUUACUGGGCGUAAAGGGCGAGUAGGUGGCCAUCUAAGUCAGACGUGAAAUCCCCCGGCUUAACCUGGGAACUGCGUCUGAUACUGGACGGCUUGAGUAUGGGAGAGGAACGUAGAAUUCCAGGUGUAGCGGUGAAAUGCGUAGAUAUCUGGAGGAAUACCGGUGGCGAAGGCGGCGUUCUGGACCAUUACUGACACUGAAUCGCGAAAGCUAGGGGAGCAAACGGGAUUAGAUACCCCCGUAGUCC
This 273-nucleotide ribosomal RNA is filed under the name uncultured bacterium. RNAcentral describes it as "partial 16S ribosomal RNA". It matches the Rfam family "Bacterial small subunit ribosomal RNA", at positions 524 to 796 of the family's 1533-position model. The record is from RNAcentral.